This 396-nucleotide ribosomal RNA is filed under the name uncultured bacterium. RNAcentral's name for it is "bacterial SSU rRNA". It matches the Rfam family "Bacterial small subunit ribosomal RNA", at positions 505 to 898 of the family's 1533-position model. The record is from RNAcentral.
GUGUCAGCAGCCGCGGUAAUACGUAGGGUGCGAGCGUUGUCCGGAAUUACUGGGCGUAAAGAGCUCGUAGGUGGUUUGUCGCGUCGUCUGUGAAAUUCCGGGGCUUAACUCCGGGCGUGCAGGCGAUACGGGCAUAACUUGAGUGCUGUAGGGGAGACUGGAAUUCCUGGUGUAGCGGUGAAAUGCGCAGAUAUCAGGAGGAACACCGAUGGCGAAGGCAGGUCUCUGGGCAGUAACUGACGCUGAGGAGCGAAAGCAUGGGUAGCGAACAGGAUUAGAUACCCUGGUAGUCCAUGCCGUAAACGGUGGGCGCUAGGUGUGGGGGUCUUCCACGACUUCUGUGCCGUAGCUAACGCAUUAAGCGCCCCGCCUGGGGAGUACGGCCGCAAGGCUAAA